GAUGAAGAACGUAGUGAACGUGCGAAACGUAAUGUGAAUUGCAGAAUUCAGUGAAUCAUCGAAUCUUUGAACGCAUCUUGCGCUCCUUGGUAUUCCGAGGAGCAUGCCUGUUUGAGUGUCGUGAAAUACUCUCAAUUUCAAUCUUUUUGUUUGAAAUUGGAUUUGGAUGUUGUUGUGGAUCUUGCUACGACUCAUCCUAAAUGCAUUAGCGAUCUGCCUUGAUCACACACAAUGUGAUAAGAUGAGCAUUGUUAUAAUCAAGUCAUGACUGCUUCUAACCGUCCCUUUGGGACAAACGUCUUAUGUCGUUUGACCUCAAAUCAGGUAGGACUACCCGCUGAACUUAAGCAUAUCAAUAAGCGGAGGA
RNAcentral lists this unclassified non-coding RNA (367 nucleotides) under soil metagenome. Its description in RNAcentral is "partial contains 5.8S ribosomal RNA, internal transcribed spacer 2, and large subunit ribosomal RNA". The stretch from base 1 to 121 matches the Rfam family "5.8S ribosomal RNA", at positions 35 to 154 of the family's 154-position model. The record is from RNAcentral.